This 327-nucleotide ribosomal RNA is filed under the name Triticum aestivum (bread wheat). RNAcentral's name for it is "partial small subunit ribosomal RNA". Lineage: Eukaryota; Viridiplantae; Streptophyta; Magnoliopsida; Poales; Poaceae. The record is from RNAcentral.
AUGAAUCGGCAAUGGAUGUACGGUAACCGACUCUCCCGCGAGUUCACUACGGGUUUGAAAGAUUUCCUCGUAGUGGCUAAUGUGAACAAGCAGAAGGGUUUUGUUAUCUGUCCAUGUGUUGACUGUAAGAAUCAGAAGGGUUACUCUUCCUCAAGAGAAGUUCACCUGCACCUGCUUCGGCACGGUUUCAUGCCAAGCUAUAAUUGUUGGACCAAGCAUGGAGAAAGAGGGGUUAUAAUGGAAGAAGAUGAAGAAGGGGAUGAUUUCAUCGAUGAAAGCUAUCUUGCUCAUUUCGGUGAUACUUUCAUGGAGGAUGCUGAAGGUGAA